UAGGGAAUAUUGGACAAUGGGGGCAACCCUGAUCCAGCCAUGCCGCGUGAGUGAAGAAGGCCCUCGGGUUGUAAAGCUCUUUUGUCCGGAAAGAAAAGCUUCGGGUUAAUACCCCGGGGUUCUGACGGUACCGGAAGAAUAAGCACCGGCUAACUUCGUGCCAGCAGCCGCGGUAAUACGAAGGGUGCAAGCGUUACUCGGAAUUACUGGGCGUAAAGCGUGCGUAGGUGGUUGUUUAAGUCUGAUGUGAAAGCCCUGGGCUCAACCUGGGAAGGGCAUUGGAAACUGGGCAGCUAGAGUGCGGUAGAGGGUAGUGGAAUUCCGGGUGUUGCAGUGAAAUGCGUAGAGAUCGGGAGGAACAUCUGUGGCGAAGGCGACUGCCUGGACCAGCACUGACACUGAGGCACGAAAGCGUGGGGAGCAAACA
This 427-nucleotide ribosomal RNA is filed under the name uncultured bacterium. Its description in RNAcentral is "bacterial SSU rRNA". It matches the Rfam family "Bacterial small subunit ribosomal RNA", at positions 355 to 774 of the family's 1533-position model. The record is from RNAcentral.